UACGAAGGGGGCUAGCGUUGUUCGGAAUUACUGGGCGUAAAGCGCACGUAGGCGGACUAUUAAGUCAGGGGUGAAAUCCCUCGGCUCAACCGGGGAACUGCGUCCGAUACUGGUGGGCUCGAAUCCGGGAGAGGGAUGUGGAAUUCCAGGUGUAGCGGUGAAAUGCGUAGAUAUCUGGAGGAACACCGAUGGCGAAGGCAGCUCGCUGGGACGGUACUGACGCUGAGGCGCGAAAGCGUGGGGAGCAAACAGG
Molecule: ribosomal RNA, 253 nt
Filed under: uncultured bacterium
Lineage: Bacteria
Description: partial 16S ribosomal RNA
Rfam family: Bacterial small subunit ribosomal RNA
Source: RNAcentral